GUGGGUAGCAAACAGGAUUAGAUACCCUGGUAGUCCACGCCGUAAACGAUGUCGACUAGCCGUUGGGUCCCUUGAGGACUUAGUGGCGCAGUUAACGCGAUAAGUCGACCGCCUGGGGAGUACGGCCGCAAGGUUAAAACUCAAAUGAAUUGACGGGGGCCCGCACAAGCGGUGGAGCAUGUGGUUUAAUUCGAUGCAACGCGAAGAACCUUACCUACCCUUGACAUCCUGCGAACCCGGAAGAGAUUCCGGGGUGCCUUCGGGAGCGCAGAGACAGGUGCUGCAUGGCUGUCGUCAGCUCGUGUUGUGAAAUGUUGGGUUAAGUCCCGUAACGAGCGCAACCCUUGUCCCUAUUUGCCAGCGAUUCGGUCGGGAACUCUAGGGAGACUGCCGGUGACAAACCGGAGGAAGGUGGGGACGACGUCAAGUCAUCAUGGCCCUUACGGGUAGGGCUACACACGUGCUACAAUGGCCGGUACAAAGGGUUGCGAAAGCGCGAGCUGAAGCUAAUCCCGAAAAGCCGGUCUCAGUCCGGAUCGGAGUCUGCAACUCGACUCCGCGAAGUCGGAAUCGCUAGUAAUCGUGCAUCAGAAUGGCACGGUGAAUACGUUCCCGGGCCUUGUACACACCGCCCGUCACACC
This 642-nucleotide ribosomal RNA is filed under the name Chromohalobacter sp. Its description in RNAcentral is "bacterial SSU rRNA". It matches the Rfam family "Bacterial small subunit ribosomal RNA", at positions 761 to 1403 of the family's 1533-position model. The record is from RNAcentral. Lineage: Bacteria; Pseudomonadati; Pseudomonadota; Gammaproteobacteria; Oceanospirillales; Halomonadaceae.